Molecule: long non-coding RNA, 422 nt
Organism: Vitis riparia (riverbank grape)
Lineage: Eukaryota; Viridiplantae; Streptophyta; Magnoliopsida; Vitales; Vitaceae
Exons: 2
Source: RefSeq, a predicted model, not a curated record
UAUUUUUCUAUUGAUCAACCUUCAAGAUUUAUGAGGUAAUAAAAAAUCUUGAACAUGAAACUGAUAUUGGUAACUUGUUAUCUCAGGAUUAGAGUUGUGCUCCACCACCAAAUAUCAGGUACUGAUGUGCAGUAUACAUUGUCAUGCAUUCAGCAAGCUGUAACUGGAGUCCAUGAUUGCAACGGCGACUUGAAAGAAAUUUCUGUCUAAAAUGAUUUAGUGUUUGUGUAUGCCAUGCUCUAAAUUUCAAGGACAUAAAACUUACUGAAUCACCCUUGAGUCUCUCUGAGUGAGACUUUUUCAGUAAGAAACUGCAUUGUAUGUUGAAUGUUUUAGAAUAAUUAUGGUUUGCCUGGUUUUGGCUUUUGUUACUGUGAAACUGAAUGAAAUGUCGAAUGCUGCUUCUACAUUUCUAAAUUUAA